RNAcentral lists this unclassified non-coding RNA (86 nucleotides) under Pseudomonas psychrophila. Lineage: Bacteria; Pseudomonadati; Pseudomonadota; Gammaproteobacteria; Pseudomonadales; Pseudomonadaceae. The record is from RNAcentral.
UGUGGGAGCGGGCUUGCUCGCGAUGGCGGCAACGUGGUUUCAAGAUAAACCGCGUCGGUUGCAUCGCGAGCAAGCCCGCUCCCACA